ACAAAAAAAAGCCCGCACAUUCAUUGCGGGCAGCCCUUAUAGCUUGUAUCCGGUACAAACGAAGGGCAAUGGGAGAGGAGAAACCGGAGGAAGACUUAUGGGGAUGUAAGUCUUCUCCGCGG
Molecule: regulatory RNA element, 122 nt
Organism: Fictibacillus macauensis ZFHKF-1
Lineage: Bacteria; Bacillati; Bacillota; Bacilli; Caryophanales; Fictibacillaceae
Rfam family: ylbH leader
About the family: This family is a putative regulatory RNA structure that is found upstream of the ylbH gene in B. subtilis and related low GC Gram-positive bacteria.
Source: Rfam